AGAGUUUGAUCAUGGCUCAGGACGAACGCUGGCGGCGUGCCUAACACAUGCAAGUCGAGCGGAGAAAUCAGCAAUGGUUUCUUAGCGGCGGACGGGUGAGUAACGCGUGGGCAACCUGCCUUCUACAGGGGGAUAACACAGGGAAACUUGUGCUAAUACCGCAUAACACAGUUGAUUGGCAUCAAUCGAUUGUCAAAGGA
Molecule: ribosomal RNA, 200 nt
Filed under: uncultured bacterium
Lineage: Bacteria
Description: partial 16S ribosomal RNA
Rfam family: Bacterial small subunit ribosomal RNA
Source: RNAcentral